GACGAACGCUGGCGGCAUGCUUAACACAUGCAAGUCGAACGGAAAGGCCCUGCUUGCCGGGUACUCGAGUGGCGAACGGGUGAGUAACACGUGGGUGAUCUGCCCUGCACUUCGGGAUAAGCCUGGGAAACUGGGUCUAAUACCGGAUAGGAGCCAUUUUUAGUGUGAUGGUUGGAAAGUUUUUUCGGUGUAGGAUGAGCUCGCGGCCUAUCAGCUUGUUGGUGGGGUAAUGGCCUACCAAGGCGGCGACGGGUAGCCGGCCUGAGAGGGUGGACGGCCACAUUGGGACUGAGAUACGGCCCAGACUCCUACGGGAGGCAGCAGUGGGGAAUAUUGCACAAUGGGCGCAAGCCUGAUGCAGCGACGCCGCGUGGGGGAUGACGGCCUUCGGGUUGUAAACUCCUUUCGCUAGGGACGAAGCUUUUUGUGACGGUACCUAGAGAAGAAGCACCGGCUAACUACGUG
RNAcentral lists this ribosomal RNA (465 nucleotides) under uncultured bacterium. RNAcentral's name for it is "partial 16S ribosomal RNA". It matches the Rfam family "Bacterial small subunit ribosomal RNA", at positions 28 to 507 of the family's 1533-position model. The record is from RNAcentral.